GGCAGCAGACAGCCUUUUGUCCGGGACCCGGCGCCUGUCGCCUGCCUGCCGGCCACAGCCUCCACACCGCCCCGCUUCCUAAUUAGAGAGCCCCCCUCCUCUUCGCCUCUCCUCUUCUCCUCCUCCUCCUGUUCUUCUUCAUUUUCUUUUCUUUCUGCAGCGAUAAUCACAAAACUCUCAUUCUAUUACGGGGGCCAUUGUUGCCCCUCUGUUAUCUUCAAUUAACAGAGAGAGCGGCUCGACCUCGCACUCUGGGAGAAAAAAGUAUUUGUCUAAAUCAAUCAGUCAAUGAGUGAUCAAUAGGCUCCUGUGGAGGUCCCGUGGAUCAUAACUAAUGACUGCUGACGGCGUGGGGUAAAAAGGCCAAGAUUAUUCACAACUUUGUUAAAUGAUCAGUGCAGGCCUGUGUUGUUAGCGAAGCUCCGGGCCAACAGGAGAAGUUACACAUGCAGGGCAGACAAACAGCAGCUUUUCCUGUUUUCCCUGUGAACCUAAACACAUCACAGAGAGCUGACAGGUUUUUAUCUCUUUAUCUACAGGAGAUAGUUUAGAGAGAGAGGGACUCAGAUUACACGCACAAACACACGCAGACCCACUCUGCUGUCCUCAAGUUUAAGAUUUCCACUUUCCUGUUUAUUCAUUUGUUUAGUCAUCAUGAAUUUAUAAAGUUUCUCCAUUUUACUUUAAAAUGGGAUUCAAAAGAGUUAAUCAGCAAAAUUCAAAAGAAAAAAUAUUUAUUCAAGAAAAGUUUGUUGUAGGUUGUUGUAUUUGGACUUCAGUUUUUUUAUUUCCCUUUCUCAAAAAGUUUUAUUUUUACUCUCUCAAUUAUCCAAAAAGCUUAAAGCACAAACCAAGUUAAAGCCCAAAUUUACUCUAUAUGGAUAUAUAACAGGCUUAGAAUAUGAUGCAGUGAUCCCAGUAAAUGAAUUUAAGAAAGUCGAAAUUAGACUGAAUUCAAUAACUGCAACUGAUUUAUAACAUUAGAUCUUAAAUGAAUGAAAUGACUGUUAUUAGUAAACAGAUACUUUAGACUGUGAUACCGUGAAGGUCAAAUUUGUUUACUAAAUCAGCAUUUUAAUUUGGAAGAAUUUUUUAUGCACUUUUAUACAACGCAGGAACAUGUCAUAGUCAAUAAACCAUCACAUUCACCAAAUUAUCAACAAACCUGCUGACUCGUCCUACUAAAUAUGAAAUUGUUUGUAUAAAAAUGGUUCAAGUUACAUUUUGUCUUCAAAAUACAUUGUUUGAUGAAAAAAUAAUGCUGAUUUAGUUUUGUGUCAGGUAUUUAUUAUUUUUAUUCUUUUGUUGUUUUUAUGUAAAAAAAAAAAAAAAAAACUAUAAUAAAACGUGAACCUAACGCUGUGUUUUUAUGUUGUAUUGCUUUGUUCUCUCAAACCUGUUGCUCUUAUCACGAGUUGCUCACAGCACAGGAGUGAAAAUUGUACCAGGCUCCCAGAAACCUCCUCCUGAUCCCUGCAGACACUGACUGAUCUGAUCCCUGAGGGCUGACACUGAGCUGUGACGCAGCUAAGAGCCAAUACCUCCAAAAUUAACAAAAAUAUUCUUUUUACAACAUUUUAAAGAUGCAAAACACUUCACAGGACAAAAUAUAUUCUCUUUUGUCCGAUUUUAUGCCAUUAAAACUGCAGCAAAGGUCCUGUACACUCUGUGUGAAUGAAACAAGAGUAUUGGUGCUGAAUAUUGGUCUGCUGGAGCUGGGAAAGAAGCCCAGAAACCUGUGUGCAGUCUACAGAGUGUGUAUUGUUAGACUGCGCCUCUCUCUCUCUCUCUCUCUCGCUCUCUCGCUCUCUCUCCCUCCGUUCCUAUUGGCUGCCAGGCUCAGGUGCAGCCUUCACACUGGCCCAAAGUGGAGCAGGAGGGAUCCAAUCAGAAGCCAGUGAGGAGGUGGGGGAGGAGGAAACACACACAGAGCCACCAGAGCUUCUCUCUCUCUCUCUCUCUCUCUCUCUCUCUCUCUCUCUCUCACACACACACACACACACACACACACACACACACACACACACACACACAAACUCAAAUGCAAAGCAGGAUUUUGUUCAGACUCUUAAAGUGAGAAGUGUGAAAGGAAAAGUGCAAAUUCCUAUCAAUCAAUCUUUACUGUAACUAAAAACACACACUGACACACUGAAAAACACACAAACACAUACACACACAAACUAGGCAGAACACACAGGCCUGCAAAGCUGCAGCAUUAGAUGUAAGCAUGAAAAGAAUUAAAGCGAAGACAACAAAUACAAACUUUACAGAUACUUCUCUUAAAUGGGAAUAAUCGGAUUGGAUUAGACAGAUUGUCAUUGUAGAGUUUUUGAUAUAUGCAACAAGUCAUACUGCCUGUGAGGGUGAUUUUGUGAGAGAGUGUGGCUGUCCUCUGGACUUACAAUGCCCCAGCGUGCAGGCCUGUCGCCCCCUCCUGGACAGAGAGGAGGUGAUGGACUCUGGCUUGAGUCUGAAAGAGCACAGAGGAUCAGAACCCCUCUGGAGUUUAUUAUGGCACCCAUCUUUGAGAGCAUUGGUUUAAUAAAACCCAAUCUGAUAGUCAGCUUUUUAUGUCUUUGGUGUUCUUCUUUCACAGUCACAGGACUUAUACCUUCUACAUUUCAGAUAGAUUAAUGUUGGAUAAAUGGUGCAUGGAGCCUGACACUAAGACAGCGAGAAAGUCAGUCAGUCAGUCAAACCAUCAGCUUUCUUUGCUAAAAUAUGAAUCCUGUUCAAGGACUGCACUUGCAAGGUGCCAGGAUGCUACAUCAAGUGACCAUCAGUUAAUUAUCCCGUUCAUACACAGCUGGCAAUGACAAGAGAAACUGGGUGGGAUUCAGCGUCUUGCCCAAGAACACUUCAACAUGUGGACUACAGAGGCUGGAAUCAGGCCGCCAACCUUCAAACUGAGAGACAACUGACAGCCGCCUCAGAGAUCUGUUCAACAGGACCUCGGCUUUAUUUAUUUCUACUGCACAUAUUGUUGUUCUCAAUCUGCAGGCCGGUUUGUGUUAACAGUCAAACACAGGAUCUACCAAAAGAGAGAGAGGGGCAUUUUCCUCUAUUUCACACACAGAAAAGACUCAAAUCAUACAGCGUAUACUCCUCUAACUUUAAGAUAUUAAAAGGAAAAAUGUUACAUUUUGUACUUUCUUGCUUGUGUGAGUCAAAAAUCUGCGGGCAAAAUUUCUUGUUUGUAAUCAAGACAAUAUUUGAAGUAGCACCGGCUCAAAUUUUUAUCCAUUACAUUUAUGAAAUCUUUCUUUUUGUCUUGUAAUAUAUAACAAUAAGAUGUGAUAUCAGAGAAUGUCAGGGUAACAUGGCUUCUGUUAGGUGUAAUUAGAUAUUCUUACCAUAAAUAAGACAAAUACACCCUGUGAGAUGUGAGUUUUUGUUGUGCAUCUGUGCUUUUAUCUCCACUAAAUUACAUUAAACAUUUUAAAAAAAAAUGGUCUUUUCAUGUGCAAAUAAGGACUUUUUAAAUAAGCUAAAGCUUGUCUGGCCCAGUCAAAGUCCUAUUCAAGUGAGAGUUUCAUCCUGAAAGAAAUCAUACUUCUUUUUAUAUAACCUUUUUUUUCCUUUUUACAUUAAGCCCGUGUUAAAUGUUCUCAUAUAAUAGUUUUACAGCCCUUUUCUCUUUUAUUUUUGAAGUUUUAUAGUGCAUCAAUUUUAAGACUUUGAGUUUAUGGACUUAUUGCUCCUAUUAUUCUGUUUUUCAGGACUCCUUAAAUCUGGUUUGGUCCCAGGACAAAUAACCACUAGGUGGCACACUUACUUACUUGACAAGUAAGUAAGUAAAUGCUGACUGUAUCAGUGUCUUCACAGGCCUCACUAAAGCAUCAGUUGGACAACAGCAGCUGAUUUAAACAAUUAAAAACAGUUUUUACUAAGACUGAGAACCUCUAUUGUUUCACUGGCUCCCUGUGUUUUCAGAGGGUAGAGUUAAAGUUACAGCUGCUGAUCUGCAAAGCACUGAAUGAUGAUGGUGAUCCUGUCAUACAGGAUGAAAACUAACACUGCUCAUUUGGUCUGAUACAGGUCUGCUGACUUUCCCCAGAAUUAUAGCCAAACAUGGAGAAGCUUCGUUGAGUUUUUCUGCUCCAAACAGCCGGAACAAACUCCCAGAAUGCAUCAGGUCCACUGAAUCCUUCAGUUCUUUGAAAUCCAGACCGAGGUCUCUGUCAGUACCUGUGUAUCUUCAUUACACAACACUCUCAUAUUUAGAGCCUCUUUUUCUCUGCUGUUUUUUUAAUCUCCUCUUUGAUUUCUAACCCAUUGGUUCCUCUUUAUCAGAGUUUCUUCUGCUCUUUUGAUCACGAUGUUCAAAUGUCUUGUGUAAAUCUCUAAUGCCAUUUUUAUGACAUGCGCUCUAGAAAGAGGCUUGCCAAGCCUGAUCCUUAAAACACCAUCAAAUACUGUUGAGUUGUGGUUUAUGUGAUGUAACUUCAUGAUGAGCCUUAAGGACUGGACUGAAUAAAAGCAUCUGAGGUCAAAGAAGAAGAAGAAGAAUUUUCAGGACAACUGUGAAGAAACCUGCACAUCGUUUACACAGAGCAUUGAUACGAGAUGAAAAACUAUCAUUUUCCUGCUGGUCUCCAUUUCACCAUCAUGUUAUAAAUGUUACACUGAGGCUUUCACAGCGUGCUUUUGAUGCCUCCUGAGGCUCAUUGCCCUUCUCUCUGGCAGGAAAAUCUUCAUGCAUGGAGGAGGAACUUUUUUCAAUUUAAGGAUCAGUUUUCUUGAAAUCUAGAAGCGUGCAUGAGAAGCUGAUUUGAGGCUCUUCUAGUCUUGCCUUACUUGUUGCUAAAGCAAACAUGCAAAGUAGCUUCUAGUGAAUUUUACAGACCUUUAACCCUCCCCCCAAACAUCCAGUCCAAUCUGCUUUGUUUGUAGAGCCCAUUUUUACUAACAUUAAUGACUGCGCAGUAUGAUAACAAAGCAGAGAUAAAUAGAGGGUAAAACAGAAAGAUAAAAGCACCAUAAACUAAACAAAAACAUAUGAGACACAUAAAAGUAAUGAAAUCACAUAAAAAUAAAGUUUAAAGACUAAAACAAUUACAGGGAUCGCUCAACUCUCAUAGUGGGUUUAAAUCCAUGACAGAAAAUAAAGUUUCAAGAUAAUAUUUUAAAGUUGUUAUACUGGAGGAGUUUUUUUGUUCACAAGAAGCAGCUGAUCUGCAGAGCUCAAACACAAACCCUAAAGAAGUGCAGACUCAGAGCUCAGAGGUGUACUGAGGUGCUAAUCCAUUUAAAGAUCUUAAAACAAACAAUAAAGUCUUGAAAUGAACCCAAAAAUGAACAAGAGGGGCCAGUGGAGAGAAUCAAGCAUGGGGGAAGCAUGUGCUCCAUGUGCUGCAAACAGCAGGAUGGACGUAUAUUCAAGACUCUUAAAGCUCCUGUGAGGAACUUUCAGCCCCUUUAAUCAUUGCAGUCUUUGUCUAAAAAACUGUCCUUCUGACAAAAAAAUCUCAUCCUGCUGACUUGCGACAGUCAGUCGUCUAUUUAUUUUGAAUGACAAGUGUUAAAAACCAGGGCUGUUUCUCCAGCUGCUUGUCUGACUCCUACCCUCUCACUCUAGUCUCAGCAAUUAAAUUAUAUAAUUGAAAAAUAGUAAAUCUUGAUGCUGAUGGUCGUGUUUGCCUUUGUAUAAUACGAGGAAGCAUAAAUAUGAAUUUCAAUCUGUUUCAUAAAUGUAAAAAAUUAGAAAUAAAAAUUUUACACAGGAGCUUUAAAAUGCCACAAUAUUUUUAUUCUGUGUUUAAAGUCAUUUUGCUGCUUUAAAAACUUUUUUGUGUGUAGUUGGAUGUUUUGUUUUUGCACUGAACUGUCUUCGGCCCACUUUCACACAGAUUUCCUUCCACAGAGUCAUGUUGACUGAAGAUCAUCCAAGGUUUGUGGUUAAAGGUCAGGGUGCGUCCCAUAACAUGAUUAGAUUUUACGUGGAGCUGCAGCAUUUUGCACUGAAUGAAAUGUUGGGAUAAAAUACGAUUCUUUCACAGGGAGGUAUGAAGAUGUGUAAGUCUUUUUAAAAUCCCUGAUGAAAAGCCAUUUUAAUCUGUCUUUUUUGAUUCUUUUCUGAGGCUAUCUCUAUCUUGAGAUGAGUCCUGCUGCAUGUUGUCUUAUAUAAUUGUGUUUUUCUUACAUUACACGGAGUACGUGUCAGGACUUAAAGUGAGAAAUUUCCUUGCCUAAUAUCAGUCAGAAAAUAAUGCAACUCUGCUCUUUUUUCUGUAGAUGACAUGCUGGAUAGGUAGUAGUUGAACCCCGCUGCAUUACUGCCCCUUUGCACGCACCCCUGUUUGUUCUCGAGCGUACAUUCGUGCAGUAUGGUUUGGAAUAAAUUCAACAUGUACGAGCUUCAUGUGAAGAGUGUGUGUCAUGACACAUCCUCUGCAGUGACCUGCUGCUGCUGCAGAGACAAAUUACAAACUGAAAAAUGUCGAACAUGAAAGCCAUAAAUCAGAGCAGAGCCAAACAGUGCGGGCGGCUAAUGAAGAGGCUGGAUGGGGUGAAGCUGAAGACCUCUAUCUUUUCAUUCAUUACAGCUGAAGGAAACAGCAGAAGCUCGUGUGGAAACAGACGCUUUUCACAGUCCUAGAUCAAACAGAGACAAGACUACGAGCUCAGAUCACAAAGUGUGAGCCCGCUGCACAGCUAGGGCCUGAGUGAAAGUGGGCUUUUGAUCAUCCACGAGUCCUUGUUUAAAGAAGAACUAUGUGGGAUCUGAGCGUCUGACCCCGCAGAGAUCAUUCGCUGUGAUGGCACUAAGAGGCCUGAACUUCACACACUGAGUUUGACACGGAGAUGAACACAGCAGAUUAGCAAAGACUAACAGUCUCUAUCAUGAUGAACGGAUGACAGGGCUGAGAAAAGACGCUGAGACUAAACCGCCGGCUCUUCUAAAAACAUACAAACCUCCUGCCUGACACUCCUCUGAGCUCAGACACAUGUAAAACACAGCCUCGCCUGCUCAGAUAAACUGUGAGCGGCUCAGCAGACAGCGGUGUACUCAGGCUGGAGUUUGACUAAUGCUACUUCUUCCAGAGGAACAAAGAGAGUGUACAGUGGUUUCAAGUGCUGUUUACCACUAAAUGACAUCUGAAAACAUACUGAUUUGUGCAUUUUAUUCACUGUGCUGCAGCGACCUAAAGGAUGCAGAGGAUAAUGCUGCUACUUUGUAAACUCGUGCAAAAAUCCUAAACAAAUUGGCUGAGACAUGCUACAAAUGAGAGCAAUAGAAAACAAAACAAAAAAAAGCCAAAACAGCUUCUUUAACACCAAACAUGAUGCAAAUACAUCAGUCAUGCACCUCAGAAAACACUUAAUUUGCUGCAACCACAACAACAGACAUGCUCCAGACCUCUAGGGGGCGCUCAGUUGAAUGCUUUGUAAUGGUUUAUCAUUGACAGGAGAGUGAGGAAGAUAAGGAGGAGAUAUUAUUUUUUUGACAUAAACUUAAAAACAUGAUGUACCUAUUUGCAAAAACUAAUCAGGUUGCCACAUUGGUAGCCAUUUACUUUCAAUGAAUCCUCAUUUUUGACAGAGUAUGAACAGGACGAGUUCAUACUGGUGGGUGUUUUACAGAACAGCCUCUGCCACCAGCAUGUGAAUGUGGUGUGUGAAGGAGUGAAUGUGUGUGAUGUUUAAGUGCUUUGAGCGGUCAGAUGACUAGAUUAAGUGCCAUAUAAACACAGUCCAAUUACUUAAACAGAGUCUACAAUAGCUGACAAAAUGACCGCUGGUGUAAUUAACAAUAACUCUCCGCUGUAAUCGAUUCUUUCCAGCAUAAUUAGCUCCUUUGUUUUAUACUGUAGGGCAGCCAAUGAGCAUGCAGAGUGAUUUUGCCUCCAGGAUUGUAGAAAAUCAAUGGAGACCAGAAAUCUACUCUUAAAUAUCAGAUUAUUGCAUGUCGUAUGUUGUAAACUUUCGCACUAAAUUUAAAACAUAUAAGCUUUUUAAACAUUUUGUAUUUCAAAUGGAUCUUUAAGGCUUUCACUCAGUGUCCGUCUGUCUUUCUUCUUGUGCAGAGUGGUAGGGCGGCACCUCACUGUCCUCAGUUGUCCUCUACAGCCCCUGUAUUCAAAUCUUAUAUAUUUUUGCAUAAAGUUUGAGCCUCUUUGAAAUUAAAUUCAAAUGAUUCUACUUUUGCAACAUCCGUAACUGGAGACUAAAGAUCCUGGAGAAAAUUUUACCUGGUUAUGAAAAAGGCUUAAGUCAUGCUGAUAUCCUCGUGUGACCUGAAAGAGUCAACAAGAAUAUCAGCCACAACAAUAUAACUUACUUGAUAGUUAUUUCUGAUGCAUGUUACCAAAACCAAAAUUGAAAAUCACAUAAAUGUACAAACAGUAUGUGCAGAAAUAAAUCUCAUAUUGACAUCAUCAUCUAAGGAUAUGUCUCCUAUGAAUCCAAUACUCCAAAGGUCUCUCUCCUCCGUGCAAACAAAGGUCAAGAACAAGAGGAAAAACUCUUAUAAACUCUUCAGUUUUUCAGACGACUGCUGACGACUCACUCGCACCUAAUAAAAACAGAGACAAAGUAAAGUGAAGGAAGACAAAUGGGCGUCCCGCUUUUAUCGCCUGCUGCAAAGCACAGCUGAGAGGACAGGGAUGUAAACUAGGAAUCCCUGAGAUCCAUUUAAUGAGCUGAAUCAAAGCAUGCAAAAAGACUAGAGACGACUUCGUCUGUGUCUGUGUCUUCUGUUUUUUUAUGAGUUUGUCACAGAACAGGGACUGUGGUGCUCUGUGUUUGGUUCAGCAGUGUGAUAUGGACAAAGCCAAACGACAGAGGGAGUCUCAGCAACACCGUCUGACUUCUCUGAGCUUGACUUCUCAGACCAGAAAACAGAAAAGUACAACUUUUACCCAAGCAGAAGAACACUUCCAUAGUCUUUUUAAUGUUUAAUGUGAGCUUAUUUUUAUGAAGCCACUCACAUACCCCAAUCAUGUAUAAUUGUAGCCUCUCAGCUGCUUUAUCUGGCGUGUUAGAAUAUAAAACAGUAUCAUCAGCAUAAAGCUGUCAAAAGGCCCUGUACAACUUUCAGGCAGAUCAUCUGUAAAAAAAAAAAACAAAUAUCAGUGGACCUAGCAUUGAGCCUUGGGGAAUACCUCUUUUAUUUUGUAAUUGAGCAGAUCUUUUUGAGUCGAUCUGCACACUGCUUCCUUGACUAGAGAUAAGAGGCAAACUCAACUAAAAGUUUAUCAUUCUGAGCAAACUAUAAGAUUGUGUGUUUUCAGACAAAAGACUGGAUUGUCUUAUUUCACAGUUUAUGGACAGUAUGAACUACGGACAUCCAAGUUUGUGUGCAAAAAUACCUAAAAAGAGGGUUUUUCAUCAUAUGUCCCCAUCAAAAUCCUGUUCAUAAUCUUUCAAUUCUCUCAACGCAUUGACAACUUUCAAUCUUCUUCACCAAAAUAUAAAAAGUGAAAAAAAAAGACUGCGCACCCUUAUUCUAGGUGAAGAAAAACAAAAUUGUAAUUUAAAUGAUCACAUAAUAAUCUAAAUAUACAGAAAUGUUUGAUUCCUUUUCUACCAAGUCUGUAAAAUGCUGCUAUAUCCUACACACUGCUAGCUUGGCAUCACUGGACCAACACAGCCUGAUGAAUUAAUCAAGAACUGUUCAAUUUGUUAACAUUUUCAAGGGGCCUUAAACAAUGGCAGAAUGGUAUAGAGCUUCUGAAAUUGGAUACACAGACAAACCACUAGUCAGAUUAAUGCAGCAUGUGUUGUACGGCAAACCAACAGAAAUGGAAACACUCAGCUGGAUGCAGAGUGAAGAAAUACAAAACUACCACAGCAAAAAGUAUGUCGAUUUUAUAGAUAUCAGAAAGUCAGAUAUGAAAAUUCAAGCACAAUUUUACAACUGUUUUUUCUUUUGAAUUAAAAUGUGGAGAGUCAUUUGACCAAUUCAGUAUAAUUCAAAGUCCCUGAGCUAACCUGUUGAACAUUUCAGACUGUAAGUUUUGUAACUUCUCUUCUAACUGACUGAAGUUUCAUAAUUUAGAGUCAGCCAUCUUUAAUCUGCAACUGGAAACCACCUCCAGAUAGUGUCCAAAUAUAUAAGAGUGAAAAGACCUUUCUGCAGAGGAACCCCUCAAAUCCAAACUCUGAGGUUUCCUGCGUGAUGAUAUUGGGAGAAGGAAGAACAGAAUCAGGGGUUUUCCCUCCUGGGAGGUCUGAGCAACAACUUCCAGCAUGCUGGGCUCAGGUCUGUCAAGUCUCUAGGAUAACCAGGUCCCAUGUCUACCGGGUCACAUGUUCAGGGAUCAGAGGAACCCGGAGGAGACAGAGUGUUUCUGAGAGUGUAAGUAAGACUAUGGGUUUGACCAGAUGGUGAACCGAGCAGCACAUGAUGCCCACAUACCGCUGACCUGGCAGCCACUAAAGUCCCACUGGAAUCACCAAUUGACCCUGACACUAAUAUCAUCAAGCUGCGCUCCAAAUUAAACGGUCACUGCAAACAUGGCUGCCACUUCAAAGAGUCUGGGGGCUUACUGCUGGAAAACAAAAGGCAUGACACUGUUUAAAUACAAGCAGUAAGGAACCACUGGGAUGGAAGAGGGGUGUUAGUGAAGCUGCAUUAGCCUGCUAUUGGACAAGUUCAACCAAAAAAACUUUCACACUCUCAAAUACUCAAAAGCACGGCUUUGAAACAGAGGACCGCACAUUCACCACAGUGUCUGCUUCUCUACACGGGUUUCAUGUUAGUUUUAAAUGAAUUUCAGGGAUCACUUUUGAAACAUGUCCGCAGCUACAUGGUAUAACUGUUUACACCCUAACAGCCAGCCUGAAACCUUAAAU
Molecule: non-coding RNA, 10797 nt
Organism: Xyrichtys novacula (pearly razorfish)
Lineage: Eukaryota; Metazoa; Chordata; Actinopteri; Labriformes; Labridae
Source: the annotation of a GenBank genome assembly